RNAcentral lists this ribosomal RNA (400 nucleotides) under uncultured bacterium. RNAcentral's name for it is "bacterial SSU rRNA". It matches the Rfam family "Bacterial small subunit ribosomal RNA", at positions 355 to 748 of the family's 1533-position model. The record is from RNAcentral.
UAAGGAAUUUUCGGCAAUGGGGGCAACCCUGACCGAGCAACGCCGCGUGAGUGAUGAAGGCCUUUGGGUUGUAAAGCUCUGUUGCAAAGGAAGAAUCUUUCCAAGAGGAAAUGCUUGGAAACUGACGGUACUUUGCCAGAAAGUCACGGCUUACUACGUGCCAGCAGCCGCGGUAAUACGUAGGUGGCAAGCGUUAUCCGGAAUUAUUGGGCGUAAAGGGUGCGCAGGCGGUCUUUUAAGUUCGGGGUGAAAGCGUUGGGCUUAACCCAAUAAAGCCCUGAAAACUGAAAGACUUGAGUGCGGAAGAGGGCAGCGGAAUUCCAUGUGUAGCGGUAAAAUGCGUAGAUAUAUGGAGGAACACCGGCGGCGAAGGCGGCUGCCUGGUCCGUAACUGACGCUC